RNAcentral lists this long non-coding RNA (333 nucleotides) under Brassica napus (rape). RNAcentral describes it as "long non-coding RNA (BNAP_LNC010752)". The record is from RNAcentral. Lineage: Eukaryota; Viridiplantae; Streptophyta; Magnoliopsida; Brassicales; Brassicaceae.
UAAAUUUAUUUACAACAUAUUUAUUUACUAUAUGCAGUAGAAUGGGUGGAUAGAAACAUAAAUUUUUAAAAAAUAAAAAAGUUUAUAAACCCUAAACCCAAAUAUAAACACAAAACCCAAAUAUAAACUUUCAAAUAUUAAACCCUAAACUCUAUUCAUUAAACCCUAACUCAAAUAUAAACCCUAAACCCAAAUAUAAACACAAAACCCAAAUAGAAUGAAACAAAAUAAAUAACAUAGUACACAUUGAUGGAACUAUAAAAUAUCUAUGGUUGCAUGAAAGAAGUUAAUGUUGACCCCAACCAUACCCUCUCACCUUCUAAAUACUAAACC